RNAcentral lists this ribosomal RNA (457 nucleotides) under uncultured microorganism. Its description in RNAcentral is "bacterial SSU rRNA". It matches the Rfam family "Archaeal small subunit ribosomal RNA", at positions 330 to 745 of the family's 1478-position model. The record is from RNAcentral.
GCGCAGCAGUCGAGAAACCUCCGCAAUGCUCGAAAGAGCGACGGGGGGACUCCAAGUGCCUACGCUUUGCGUAGGCUUUUCCCAAGCCUAAAAAGCUUGGGGAAUAAGGGCUGGGUAAGACGGGUGCCAGCCGCCGCGGUAAUACCCGCAGCCCGAGUGGUGGCCGCUUUUAUUGGGCCUAAAGCGUCCGUAGCCGGUCUGGUAAAUGCCUGGGUAAAUCGUCUGGCUCAACCAGACGAAUUCCGGGUAGACUGCCAGACUAGGGACCGGAGGAAGGAGAGGGUACUCCGGGGGUAGGGGUGAAAUCAGCAAGGUGAGUUGUUGAUGUAACUUGCCUUGCAAGUCACAAUCCUGUAAUCCUCGGAGGACCACCGGUGGCGAAGGCUCUCUCCUAGGACGGGUCCGACGGUGAGGGACGAAAGCCAGGGGAGCAAACCGGAUUAGAUACCCGUGUAGU